AAAUCUCAACCUUCUCGGUUUCUUCUGAACACCGAAGGAGGCUUGGACUUUGGAGGCCUUUGCUGGUGUCUCUCACCAGCUCCUCUCAAAUGAAUUAGCGGGGUCCUCUUUGCCGAUCCUCGACAUGUGAUAAGAUGUUUCCAUGUCUUGGCUUUAUGGCUCUGUUGCCUUUGGGACCCGCUUCUAACCGUCUCAGCGAGACAACGUUCGAGCGUGUCUCCCCUCUCGGGGAAACACUCUUGAACCCACGAAA
RNAcentral lists this unclassified non-coding RNA (253 nucleotides) under uncultured Lactarius. Its description in RNAcentral is "sequence contains ITS2". The record is from RNAcentral. Lineage: Eukaryota; Fungi; Basidiomycota; Agaricomycetes; Russulales; Russulaceae.